CUGGAUUUUCCUGCCUUGAUAGCUCCGCAGAAAAUGCUAAGAGCCCAACAAGGUUGUGAAGGGUGUGUGCGUGUUUGUGUGUGUGUCUGUGUGCUGUGUUUGUGUGUGUCUCUGUGUGUUUGUGUGUCUGUGUGUGUUUGUGUGUGUUUGCAUCUGUGUGUUUGUGUCUGUGGGUUUGUGUGUGUCUGUGGGUUUGUGUGUGUGUGUGUGUUUUGGUUUGUGUGUGUCUGUGGGUUUGUGUGUGUGUUUGUGUUUGUGUCUGUGUGUCUGUGUGUGUUUGUGUGUGUGUGUCUGUGUGUGUUUGUGUAUCUGUGUGUGUUUGUGUGUGUUUGCAUCUGUGUGUUUGUGUCUGUGGGUUUGUGUGUGUCUGUGGGUUUGUGUGUGUGUUUGUGUUUGUGUGUGUGUGUUUGUGUUUGUGUGUGUUGUGUGUGUGUCUGUGUGUGUUUGUGUGUGUCUGUGUGUCUGUGUUUGUGUGUGUUUGUGUGUGUCUGUGUGUUUAUGUUUGUGUCAGUGUGUGUCUCUGUGUGUGUGUGUGUGUGUGUGUAUGUGUAUUGGGAGGGCAGUGGUCCAGCUCCUCACGGGCAUCAGGCUCUGUAGCAGGGCCCACCGUCUCGGCAGGAGGGUGCGAUGGCCUCACCCACACUGUCCAGGCAGGUCUCUUGGGACCCCUUUUCCAGCACAGGUGCCUUCUCCCUAGGAAACGGCGAAGAUGUAAUCACCACACUCAGGUGUAAACUCUGUAGCUGGGUUCUAAACUAGAACCUACUGAUCAUGGGAUUCAGGUGUGCCUGAACUUGGAUGGAAAAACGUUGCAUCUUUAUUUUCACCAACCUCUAGCCUAAAGUGAGUGUUCCUCAAUAGUGAAUGUGGCCAAAGGACCUAGCGGUCUCCACAGAACCUGGGACUCCACCGUCAGCAAAGUCCUGUGUAUUUUCCCAACGUGUUUCAGUUGCUUCAGUGUCUUGAAGCCUCAUUUUUCUUCCUGCUUCAACACUGUUAAUCAUGAGAGCUGCUGCUAGAUCUGGAUCAGUAGGUUAUUUUUUUAUCUGUUGCCCAGGCUGGAGUGCAGUGGCACAAUCUCAGCUCACUGCAACCUCCGCCUCCCGGGUUCAAGUGAUUCUCCUGCCUCAGCCUCCCGAGUAGCUGGGACUACAGGCGCGCGCCACCACACCCAGCUGAUUUUUGUAUUUUUAGUAGAGAUGGGGGGGUCUCACCAUGUUGGCCAGCCUGGUCUUGAACCCCUGACCUCAGGUGAUCCACCCGCCUUGGCCUCCCAAAGUGCUGAGAUUACAGGCGUGAGCCACUGCGCCCAGCCUGAAUCAGUAGAUUAACAAGAAAUCCAAUAACAAUUACUUUAUUAUUUUGGUAACCAUAUUUCAAUAUAGUUGGUGUAUGAGUUGGUUCUCACACUGCUAUAAAGAUACUACAAGAGACUGGGUAAUUUAUAAACAAAGGAGGUUUUAUUUAUUUAUUGAGACAGAGUCUUGUUUUGUCCCCCAGGCUGGAGUGCAAUGGUGCAAUCUCAGCUCACUGCAACCUCCGCCUCCUGGUUUCAAGUGAGGCUCCUGCCUCAGCCUCCCAAGUAACUGGGAUUACAGGUGCGUGCCACCAUGCCUGGCUAAUUUUUGUAUUUUUAGUAGGACGGGGUUUCACCAUGUUGGCCAGGCUGGUCUCAAACUCCUGACCUCAAGUGAUCCACCCACCUCAGCCUCCCAAAGUGCUGGUAUUACAGGUGUGAGCCACCUCGCCCAGCCCACAAAGGAGGUUUAAUUGACUCACAGUUCUGCAUGGCUGGGGAGGCCUCAGGAAACUUACAAUCAUGGUGGAAGGGAAGCAGGUGCCUUCUUCACAAGGCAGCAGGAGAAAAAAGUUCAAGCGGGGAAAUGCCAGCUGAAGCCUGGGCCCAGGUGAUUACUGAGGCCGAGAGGUCCCAAGCCUACCGCCUGCUCGUUGGGACUCAGGGAAGUUGGUGGUGCAGUGAGGUCUGAGUCCGAAGGCCUGAGAGCCAGAGGGCUGAUGGCGUUAAUCUCAGUGUCAGGGCCAGAGACAGUGAGGUGAGUGUCCCAGCUCAGGCAGCGUGGCAGGAAAAGGGGGGCAAAUGCACCUUUCUCUGCCUUCCGCGCUAUUCGGGUCCUCAGCGGAUUGGGUGACGUCACCCACCCUGGGGAGGGCGGCCUGCUUUACAGAGCCCACUGCUUCAAAUGCUAAUCUCAUCUGGAACACCCUCGGACAUCCCCAGAAAUAAAGUUCAACCCAGCACCCCACGGCCAGGGGAGUUGAUACAUAAAGUUAACCAUCACACCGCCCGCAUGGAGAGGGAGCCCACAGGAAGGAGCUGGUGCUGCUGUCUCGACUCUGACCCUCGGCCGUGUGGGUUGUUCUGGCCCCUGCCCCUAUUUGUCUGUAGCUCCCACCCCACAGUGAGGAACCUGCCCCAGCACCCACCAUCGGUGGACCUAAUCGCUAAGCUCCAGUGUGCAGGGGCAGCAGUGUAGGAACUGCUCACCUGUACCCUGCGGCAGAAGCAUGUGUCUACCAGGGUACAGGGCUCAUGUGCGGGUCCAUUUGCUUUUGGCUUCACAGACUUCAUCAUUUGUGAGGGUACCCAGGUCAGCCUCAUCCCCCAGCCCCUCCCUACGUCUGUAAUACAGCUGCUGCCCGGGUCUGUAAUACAGCCAGAGGCUCUCGCCACACAUGGCUCACCUUCCGUCCUAGACACCCAGCCUCUUGACUGAACUUUAAAAUUUGCAUACAGUAAGGCUCACUCUUGCUGUAAAGUUCUGUGGGUUUUGACAGAUGCAUAGUGUGGUGUCUCUGCCAUUACAGUGUCGUUCACAUUAGUUUCACAGCCCUAAAAACUCCCCUGUGCUCCACCGAUUCAACCAUUUCCUCUUUCCCGAACUCCUGGCAACAACUGUUUCCAUAAAUGUAUUUUUGUGGUGGGUUUUUGGUGAACAAUUUUAUCAAAUUAGAAAUAUUUCAUUUGUUUCAAUUUCUAAUUUGCCCAGAAAUUUUUAAAAAGUCACCGAUGGCAUCACUUGAGACAUUGGGACACUUUUUGCCCUGUCAUCUAUUCAGAUGGUAUUUGCAUGGAUUGGAUUCUGAUAUUAAACCUUCCUUGAAUUCCUAGGAGAAACCCUUAGAUCUAUCAGGGUCCCAGCAGGAAAGAGACCUACAUUUAGAGCAGGUUACUUGCAGCAGUGUUUAACAAAGGGGCUCUUUAUAAAGGUGGGGCAGAGUAUUGGAAACCUCAAGGGGCAGUACAUGUCGCAGGGCUGGCCAAAGGCAUGCCUGGUAGAGAGAAGUUUCUGGAAUGUGAAGGAGAGUGCUGUGGAGAGGGAGACGCCUGGAGAGGAGCCAUGACAUUCCCCAGGUCACCUCACACAGUCAUCUGCCCUCAUUUGCAGAUCACAUAUCAGCUUACUUAGCAAGCCCAACAGAAUGGACAGGAAAACUUAAUGUUAUAAACACAUAAUUCUCCCCAGAGGGACAUAAUAAAUUCAAUGCAAUCCU
RNAcentral lists this long non-coding RNA (3513 nucleotides) under Pongo abelii (Sumatran orangutan). RNAcentral describes it as "lincRNA". Lineage: Eukaryota; Metazoa; Chordata; Mammalia; Primates; Hominidae. The record is from RNAcentral.